This 482-nucleotide ribosomal RNA is filed under the name uncultured bacterium. RNAcentral's name for it is "partial 16S ribosomal RNA". It matches the Rfam family "Bacterial small subunit ribosomal RNA", at positions 30 to 507 of the family's 1533-position model. The record is from RNAcentral.
AUUGAACGCUGGCGGCAUGCUUUACACAUGCAAGUCGAACGGUAACACCACUUUGGUGGCUGACGCGUGUCGCACGGGUGUGUAAUAUAUCUGAAAGUGCCUAGUAUUGGGGGGUAACUACUCGCAAGAGUAGCUAUUAUCGCACCAGAUCUAAGGAUGAGAGCAGGGGACCUUCGGGGCUUGCGCUCCUAGUGCGGCUGAUGUCAGAUUAGGUAGUUGGUGGGAUAAAAGCUUACCAAGCCGACGAUCUGUAGCUGGUCUGAGAGGACGAGCAGCCACACUGGGACUGAGACACGGCCCAGACUCCUACGGGAGGCAGCAGUGGGGAAUGUUGGACAAUGGGCGCAAGCCUGAUCCAGCAAUGCCGCGUGCAGGAUGAAGGCCUUCGGGUUGUAAACUGCUUUUGUACGGAACGAAAAGCUCUCGUCUAAUACAGGAGGGUGAUGACGGUACCGUAAGAAUAAGCACCGGCUAACUACGUG